GAGCGAGCGGAACAGCAGAUGCCUUCGGUGAGGACGCUGGGAAAGUGAGCGGCGGAUGGGUGAGUAACGCGUGGGGAACCUGCCCUUAAGUCUGGGAUACCACUUGGAAACAGGUGCUAAUACCGGAUAAGAAAGCAGUUCGCAUGAACAGCUUUUAAAAGGCGGCGCAAGCUGUCGCUAAAGGAUGGACCCGCGGUGCAUUAGCUAGUUGGUAGAGGGUAGACGGCCGUACCGAAGGCAGGUGNNUGCAUAGCCGAGUUGAGAGACUGAUCGGCCACAUUGGGACUGAGACACGGCCCAAACUCCUACGGGAGGCAGCAGUAGGGAAUCUUCCACAAUGGACGCAAGUCUGAUGGAGCAACGCCGCGUGAGUGAAGAAGGUUUUCGGACCGUAAAGCUCUGUUGUUGGUGAAGAAGGAUAGAGGUAGUAACUGGCCUUUAUUUGACGGUAAUCAACCAGAAAGUCACGGCUAACUACGUGCCAGCAGCCGCGGUAAUACGUAGGUGGCAAGCGUUGUCCGGAUUUAUUGGGCGUAAAGCGAGCGCAGGCGGAAGAAUAAGUCUGAUGUGAAAGCCCUCGGCUUAACCGAGGAAUUGCAUCGGAAACUGUUUUUCUUGAGUGCAGAAGAGGAGAGUAGAACUCCAUGUGUAGCGGUGGAAUGCGUAGAUAUAUGGAAGAAUACCAGUGGCGAAGGCGGCUCUCUGGUCUGCAACUGACGCUGAGGCUCGAAAGCAUGGGUAGCGAACAGGAUUAGAUACCCUGGUAGUCCAUGCCGUAAACGAUGAGUGCUAAGUGUUGGGAGGCUUCCGCCUCUCAGUGCUGCAGCUAACGCAUUAAGCACUCCGCCUGGGGAGUACGACCGCAAGGUUGAAACUCAAAGGAAUUGACGGGGGCCCGCACAAGCGGUGGAGCAUGUGGUUUAAUUCGAAGCAACGCGAAGAACCUUACCAGGUCUUGACAUCUAGUGCCAUUUGUAGAGAUACAAAGUUCCCUUCGGGGACGCUAAGACAGGGGGGUGCAUGGGUUGUCCGUCAGCUCCG
RNAcentral lists this ribosomal RNA (1041 nucleotides) under Lactobacillus sp. P3. RNAcentral describes it as "bacterial SSU rRNA". It matches the Rfam family "Bacterial small subunit ribosomal RNA", at positions 64 to 1063 of the family's 1533-position model. Lineage: Bacteria; Bacillati; Bacillota; Bacilli; Lactobacillales; Lactobacillaceae. The record is from RNAcentral.